GCGGCCGCGGGGGGUGGGGGGUGGGAGGCCGGGAGGGGGCCGGGACGCCGGGCUCCGGGGCGGGGGCGGGGGGCGCGGGCACCGGCGACCCCGGUGGCGGCGGCGGCGGCCGGGGGAAGCCUCGGGGCCGGUCAUGCGGCUGCGGGGCCCGCGGCCCGGAGCGUCCGCCCAGCCCUGAGCGAGAGACAGUGCGCACGGCCACCCCCUUCCCCAUGGUCAGCCUCUUCCUCGUGUUCACGGCCUUCGUCAUCAGCAACAUCGGCCACAUCCGCCCGCAGAGGACCAUUCUGGCUUUUGUCUCUGGCAUCUUCUUCAUACUAUCGGGCCUCUCCUUGGUGGUGGGCUUGGUUCUUUACAUCUCCAGCAUCAACGACGAGGUCAUGAACAGGCCCAGCAGCUCUGAGCAGUAUUUUCAUUAUCGCUACGGGUGGUCUUUUGCCUUCGCCGC
Molecule: small RNA, 448 nt
Filed under: Pan troglodytes (chimpanzee)
Lineage: Eukaryota; Metazoa; Chordata; Mammalia; Primates; Hominidae
Description: processed transcript
Source: RNAcentral